This 30-nucleotide small RNA is filed under the name Bombyx mori (domestic silkworm). Its description in RNAcentral is "ovarian small RNA-27454". The record is from RNAcentral. Lineage: Eukaryota; Metazoa; Arthropoda; Insecta; Lepidoptera; Bombycidae.
UCCGAAUUCUGGCCCUUGACCUCGGGCAAC